RNAcentral lists this ribosomal RNA (600 nucleotides) under uncultured archaeon. RNAcentral describes it as "bacterial SSU rRNA". It matches the Rfam family "Archaeal small subunit ribosomal RNA", at positions 86 to 686 of the family's 1478-position model. The record is from RNAcentral.
CUGCUCAGUAACACGUGGACAACCUACCCUCGGGUCCGGCAUAAUCCUGGGAAACUGGGGAUAAUUCCGAAUAGGUCACAGAAGCUGGAAUGCUCUGUGGCCCAAAGCUCCGGCGCCCGAGGAUGGGUCUGCGGCCUAUCAGGGUUGUAGUGGGUGUAAUGUACCUACUAGCCUACGACGGGUACGGGUUGUGAGAGCAAGAGCCCGGAGAUGGAUUCUGAGACACGAAUCCAGGCCCUACGGGGUGCAGCAGGCGCGAAAACUUUACAAUGCGGGAAACCGUGAUAAGGGAAUCUCGAGUGCCAGCAUAUAAUGUUGGCUGUCCAGAUGCCUAAAAAGCAUCUGUUAGCAAGGGCCGGGCAAGACCGGUGCCAGCCGCCGCGGUAACACCGGCGGCCCGAGUGGUAACCGCUAUUAUUGGGUCUAAAGGGUCUGUAGCCGGCCAGGUAAGUCCCUUGGGAAAUCUGGCAGCUCAACUGUCAGGCUGCUAGGGGAUACUGUUUGGCUUGGGACCGGGAGAGGUGAGAGGUACCUUGGGGGUAGGGGUGAAAUCUUGUGAUCCUCGGGGGACCACCAGUGGCGAAGGCGUCUCACCAGAAC